This 416-nucleotide ribosomal RNA is filed under the name Rheotanytarsus pentapoda. Its description in RNAcentral is "partial 16S ribosomal RNA". Lineage: Eukaryota; Metazoa; Arthropoda; Insecta; Diptera; Chironomidae. The record is from RNAcentral.
UAGCAUAAUCAUUAGUUUUUUAAUUGAAGACUAGAAUGAAAGGUUUAAUAAGAAAAAUUCUUUAUUAGGUUAAAAAAAUAUAAAUUGAAUUUGUUUUUUCAGUUAAAAAACUGAAAUAAAAAAAAAGACGAUAAGACCCUAUAAAGCUUUAUAUUUUUUUUUAUUAAAAUUUUAAAAAAGAAAAAAAUUUAAUAUUUUAAAAAAAAAUAUUUUAUUGGGGUGAUAAAAAGAUUAAUUUAACUCUUUUAUUUUAUAUUUUUCAAUUUUUAUUGUUUUAAGAUCUUAAAAUUUAAAUUUUUAAAAUUAGUUACUUUAGGGAUAACAGCGUUAUUUUUUUAAAGAGUUCAUAUCGAUAAAAAAGAUUGCGACCUCGAUGUUGAAUUAAGAAAAUUAUUAGGUGUAGAAGUUUAAUUAUU